AUCUUCCGCAAUGGACGAAAGUCUGACGGAGCAACGCCGCGUGAGUGAUGAAGGCNUUNNGGUCGNANAACUCUGUUGUUAGGNNNNNACAAGUACGAGAGUAACUGCUCGUACCUUGACGGUACCUAACCAGAAAGCCCCGGCUAACUACGUGCCAGCAGCCGCGGUAAUACGUAGGUGGCAAGCGUUAUCCGGAAUUAUUGGGCGUAAAGCGCGCGCAGGCGGUUUCUUAAGUCUGAUGUGAAAGCCCACGGCUCAACCGUGGAGGGUCAUUGGAAACUGGGGAACUUGAGUGCAGAAGAGAAAAGCGGAAUUCCAAGUGUAGCGGUGAAAUGCGUAGAGAUGUGGAGGAACACCAGUGGCGAAGGCGGCUUUUUGGUCUGUAACUGACGCUGAGGCGCGAAAGCGUGGGGAGCAAACAGG
Molecule: ribosomal RNA, 423 nt
Filed under: uncultured bacterium
Lineage: Bacteria
Description: partial 16S ribosomal RNA
Rfam family: Bacterial small subunit ribosomal RNA
Source: RNAcentral